AGCAGUCGCCGCGGUAAUACAGAGGGUGCGAGCGUUAAUCGGAUUUACUGGGCGUAAAGCGUGCGUAGGCGGCUUCUUAAGUCGGAUGUGAAAUCCCUGAGCUUAACUUAGGAAUUGCAUUCGAUACUGGGAAGCUAGAGUAUGGGAGAGGAUGGUAGAAUUCCAGGUGUAGCGGUGAAAUGCGUAGAGAUCUGGAGGAAUACCGAUGGCGAAGGCAGCCAUCUGGCCUAAUACUGACGCUGAGGUACGAAAGCAUGGGGAGCAAACAGGAUUAGAUACCCUGUAGUCCCUGUCUCUUAUACC
This 303-nucleotide ribosomal RNA is filed under the name uncultured bacterium. RNAcentral's name for it is "partial 16S ribosomal RNA". It matches the Rfam family "Bacterial small subunit ribosomal RNA", at positions 507 to 808 of the family's 1533-position model. The record is from RNAcentral.